AAAAUUUUUAUAAUAAUUAUUAAUAAAUAUAUUUUUUAUACUAUGUUUAUUUUAUGGUUAAAUUUAAAAAAGUUUUAUUUUAACUUAUAAAUUAGGUAAUAUUUUUAAUUAUAUGUAAAUUUUAUUUUAGAAGAGAUAUACAGUAAUUUAAUUUAAUUAUUAAAGUAAUUUAGAAUUAGAAAAAAUAUUUAAUAUUAACUUAAUUUGUGCCAGCAGUUGCGGUUAUACAAAUAAUAUAAUUUAAUUAUAUUAAUAAAAAUUAAUUGAUUAUAAUUAAUUUAUAUAAAAAAUUUUUAAGUGAAAUUUUAAUUUUUUAUAAAAUAAUAAUUAUUAAAUGAAGUUUAGAAGUUUAAAUAAUAAACUAGGAUUAGAUACCCUAUUAUUUUAAGUGUAAUAAAUUUAAAAUUAAAUUAGUAUUAGUUAUGAUCUUUAAAAUUAAAAAUUUUGGCAGUAUUUUAGUCUUUUCAGAGGAACUUGUUUAGUAAAUGAUAAUCCACGAUUUAAUUUACUUUUAUUUUAAAUUUACAUAUCGUCGUAAUAAAAUAUUUUAUUAAAAUUUUAAUAUUUAAAAUUUUUAAUUAAAAAAUUAAUCAGAUCAAGGUGUAGUUUAUAUAAAAGUUCAAAUGAGUUACAUUAAAUUUAUUUUAGGAUUUAAAAAUUUAAUUUUUUAUUGAAUGUGGAUUUGAUUGUAAUUUUAAAUAAUUAUUUAAAAUGAUUUAAGCUCUAAAAUAUGUACAUAUUGCCCGUCGCUUUCAUUUGAUAUGAAAUAAGUCGUAACAAAGUAGAUUUACUGGAAAGUAAAUCUAGAUUAU
RNAcentral lists this non-coding RNA (812 nucleotides) under Luperomorpha xanthodera. Lineage: Eukaryota; Metazoa; Arthropoda; Insecta; Coleoptera; Chrysomelidae. The record is from RNAcentral.